CUCCGCUUGGUGUAGUUGGUGUAAGUUCUACAGUCCGCACAGCUCGUGCGACCACCCGUCUAACUCUUUGCAGUUAUCACGUUCGACUGUAAAUCGAAAGGUCCCUAGUUCGAUUCUGGGAGCGGAGA
This 128-nucleotide transfer RNA is filed under the name Parastagonospora nodorum. Its description in RNAcentral is "tRNA-Tyr". The record is from RNAcentral. Lineage: Eukaryota; Fungi; Ascomycota; Dothideomycetes; Pleosporales; Phaeosphaeriaceae. RNAcentral also lists the same sequence under 1 other name.